Molecule: ribosomal RNA, 253 nt
Filed under: uncultured bacterium
Lineage: Bacteria
Description: partial 16S ribosomal RNA
Rfam family: Bacterial small subunit ribosomal RNA
Source: RNAcentral
UACAGAGGUCCCGAGCGUUGUUCGGAUUCAUUGGGCGUAAAGGGUGCGUAGGCGGCGGGGCAAGUCUGAUGUGAAAUCCUGGGGCUCAACCCCAGAACUGCAUUGGAUACUGCCUUGCUAGAGUACUGGAGAGGGAACUGGAAUUUACGGUGUAGCAGUGAAAUGCGUAGAGAUCGUAAGGAAGGCCAGUGGCGAAGGCGAGUUCCUGGACAGUGACUGACGCUGAGGCACGAAGGCCAGGGGAGCAAAUGGG